This 492-nucleotide ribosomal RNA is filed under the name uncultured bacterium. RNAcentral describes it as "partial 16S ribosomal RNA". It matches the Rfam family "Bacterial small subunit ribosomal RNA", at positions 29 to 507 of the family's 1533-position model. The record is from RNAcentral.
AGUGAACGCUGGCGGUAGGCCUAACACAUGCAAGUCGAACGGCAGCACAGUAAGAGCUUGCUCUUACGGGUGGCGAGUGGCGGACGGGCGAGGAAUACAUCGGAAUCUACUUUUUCGUGGGGGAUAACGUAGGGAAACUUACGCUAAUACCGCAUACGACCUACGGGUGAAAGCAGGGGAUCUUCGGACCUUGCGCGAUUGAAUGAGCCGAUGUCGGAUUAGCUAGUUGGCGGGGUAAAGGCCCACCAAGGCGACGAUCCGUAGCUGGUCUGAGAGGAUGAUCAGCCACACUGGAACUGAGACACGGUCCAGACUCCUACGGGAGGCAGCAGUGGGGAAUAUUGGACAAUGGGCGCAGGCCUGAUCCAGCCAUACCGCGUGGGUGAAGAAGGCCUUCGGGUUGUAAAGCCCUUUUGUUGGGAAAGAAAAGCAGCAGGUUAAUACCCCGCUGUUCUGACGGUACCCAAAGAAUAAGCACCGGCUAACUUCGUG